CCUACGGGAGGCUGCAGUCGAGAAUCAUUCACAAUGGGGGAAACCCUGAUGGUGCGACGCCGCGUGGGGGAAUGAAGGUCUUCGGAUUGUAAACCCCUGUCAUGUGGGAGCAAAUUAAAACGAUAGUACAACAAGAGGAAGAGACGACUAACUCUGUGCCAGCAGCCGCGGUAAUACAGUGGGCUCAAGCGUUGUUCGGAAUCACUGGGCGUAAAGCGUGCGUAGGCUGUUUCGUAAGUCGUGUGUGAAAGGCGCGGGCUCAACCCGCGGACGGCACAUGAUACUGCGGGACUAGAGUAAUGGAGGGGGAAGCGGAAUUCGCGGUGUAGCAGUGAAAUGCGUAGAUAUCGAGAGGAACACUCGUGGCGAAGGCGGGUUCCUGGACAUUAACUGACGCUGAGGCACGAAGGCCAGGGGAGCGAAAGGGAUUAGAUACCCUUGUAGUC
RNAcentral lists this ribosomal RNA (446 nucleotides) under uncultured bacterium. RNAcentral describes it as "partial 16S ribosomal RNA". It matches the Rfam family "Bacterial small subunit ribosomal RNA", at positions 338 to 795 of the family's 1533-position model. The record is from RNAcentral.